This 1146-nucleotide long non-coding RNA is filed under the name Apteryx haastii (Great spotted kiwi). RNAcentral describes it as "lncRNA (ENSAHAG00000002429.1)". Lineage: Eukaryota; Metazoa; Chordata; Aves; Apterygiformes; Apterygidae. The record is from RNAcentral.
NNNNNNNCAGCCCGAGCCCUAAUUGUGGCUAAUCCCAUGGCAAUUCCAGGUCUCCAGCUGCUCUGGGGCUAGGGGGGGCUGAGCCAGGGCCCAGCGGGAGGGAGUGUGGGGGGGGAUGGUGGGCACCAAGCUCCGGCACAGGCAUGACAAGCCGGGCUUUGUGCCCACGCCGAGAGCCUGCCACAAUGUCCCCAUUGAGGCCAUGGGCGCAGGCAGCUGCUGGCACUGCAGGGCCAGGCCUGGGCCCGCCUGGGGCCCGGCUGCCUCCAGCUGCCGCCAGCGUGGGGGGAACAAGAGGGACGGCGCUCAACAAGGGCUGGGCUGGGGGUCCAUGGUAGCAGGGAAAAGGGGGGCACUGAGARCAGAGAGGGUCACACACGUGUGUGCACGGGCUGGGCUCAUAUGUGUGUCCCCCCCAGCAUGGCAGGGACAGUCCCCAGGCUGCUGGGCUGGCGGGUGGAGGGGGCCUGUCCUUGACCAGUGCAUAGCUGUGGCUGUGGCCAUGGUGGGGGCACCUGGUGGCCUGGGCCAGGGUUACUCCGCACUGUGGCAGGUCACAUCCCCUCGAUGUAGCAGGGACGGUCCCCAGGCUGCUGGACUGGGGGAGCCUGGCCUUGCCCAGUGCGUGGCYGUGGCCGUGGCCAGGCCAUGGCGGGGGGGCACUAGGUGGCCAGGCCCAGGCCACCCCGACCCAUGGUGGGUCAUGCCCCCCCCCCGACGUGGCCUGGGCCUGCUCCCUCGCCCACGAGUGUCCCCCAACCGGGCUCUGCGGUCACGUGAUGCAGCCGGAUCGUCCCCCCUCUCCCCAGGAUGCUCUGGCGCCCCCUCGACCAAUCAGAGCCCCGGGAUCGCCUGUAUCCUUCUCCACCAAUAGGGAGCCAGCUGGCUCCCCUCCGCCCUAGCCCUUUAAGAGCCCGGAGCUACGUCAUCGGGGCCAACUGGUCCUCUUCCCUCCGAUUGGCUACCGCCUGCGCUGACUCAGCCCCAGCGCUUCACCCCGAGGGAGGGGCUUCCGUCCUCCCACCGCGGCCUCAGUCCCGAUGGCGUCAUCGCCGCGCAGCGACCAAUAGAAGGCGCUCUCGGUCCUGACGGGCGGGCUGGCUGUCCAACCGCCGCGCGCGGCGCCGGGAGGCGGGGCGGGCGCGG